CAACCCGGGAUUGCCUUAGUAACGGCGAGUGAAGCGGCAAAAGCUCAAAUUUGAAAUCUGGUACCUUCGGUGCCCGAGUUGUAAUUUGGAGAGGGCAACUUUGGGGCCGUUCCUUGUCUAUGUUCCUUGGAACAGGACGUCAUAGAGGGUGAGAAUCCCGUGUGGCGAGGAGUGCGGUUCUUUGUAAAGUGCCUUCGAAGAGUCGAGUUGUUUGGGAAUGCAGCUCUAAGUGGGUGGUAAAUUCCAUCUAAAGCUAAAUAUUGGCGAGAGACCGAUAGCGAACAAGUACAGUGAUGGAAAGAUGAAAAGAACUUUGAAAAGAGAGUGAAAAAGUACGUGAAAUUGUUGAAAGGGAAGGGCAUUUGAUCAGACAUGGUGUUUUGUGCCCUCUGCUCCUUGUGGGUAGGGGAAUCUCGCAUUUCACUGGGCCAGCAUCAGUUUUGGUGGCAGGAUAAAUCCAUAGGAAUGUAGCUUGCCUCGGUAAGUAUUAUAGCCUGUGGGAAUACUGCCAGCUGGGACUGAGGACUGCGACGUAAGUCAAGGAUGCUGGCAUAAUGGUUAUAUGCCGCCCGUCUUGAAACCMGGACCAA
Molecule: ribosomal RNA, 590 nt
Filed under: Saccharomyces cerevisiae (brewer's yeast)
Lineage: Eukaryota; Fungi; Ascomycota; Saccharomycetes; Saccharomycetales; Saccharomycetaceae
Description: LSU rRNA
Rfam family: Eukaryotic large subunit ribosomal RNA
Source: RNAcentral